UGAUCAUAUCACGUUGAAAUACCAGUUUCCUUACGAUCACCAUAGUUAAACAACAUCGAGACUGGCCAGUACCUAGAUGGGUGACCGUUUGGGCAUAUGAGAUGCUGUAAU
Acanthosepion pharaonis is the source of this 111-nucleotide non-coding RNA. The record is from the annotation of a GenBank genome assembly. NCBI's taxonomy places the organism in Eukaryota, Metazoa, Mollusca, Cephalopoda, Sepiida, Sepiidae.